Molecule: ribosomal RNA, 509 nt
Filed under: uncultured bacterium
Lineage: Bacteria
Description: bacterial SSU rRNA
Rfam family: Bacterial small subunit ribosomal RNA
Source: RNAcentral
UUCGGGAACUGUGAGACAGGUGCUGCAUGGCUGUCGUCAGCUCGUGUUGUGAAAUGUUGGGUUAAGUCCCGCAACGAGCGCAACCCUUAUCCUUUGUUGCCAGCGGUCCGGCCGGGAACUCAAAGGAGACUGCCAGUGAUAAACUGGAGGAAGGUGGGGAUGACGUCAAGUCAUCAUGGCCCUUACGACCAGGGCUACACACGUGCUACAAUGGCGCAUACAAAGAGAAGCGACCUCGCGAGAGCAAGCGGACCUCAUAAAGUGCGUCGUAGUCCGGAUUGGAGUCUGCAACUCGACUCCAUGAAGUCGGAAUCGCUAGUAAUCGUGGAUCAGAAUGCCACGGUGAAUACGUUCCCGGGCCUUGUACACACCGCCCGCCACACCAUGGGAGUGGGUUGCAAAAGAAGUAGGUAGCUUAACCUUCGGGAGGGCGCUUACCACUUUGUGAUUCAUGACUGGGGUGAAGUCGUAACAAGGUAACCGUAGGGGAACCUGCGGCUGAUCACCUC